UACGUAGGUGGCGAGCGUUAUCCGGAAUUACUGGGCGUAAAGGGCACGCAGGCGGCCUUUCAAGUCUGACGUGAAAGCUCCUGGCUUAACUGGGAGAGGUCGUUGGAAACUGAGGGGCUUGAGGCGAUGAGAGGGGUGCGGAAUUCCCGGUGUAGUGGUGGAAUGCGUAGAUAUCGGGAGGAACACCAGUGGCGAAAGCGGCGCCCUAGCAUCGGCCUGACGCUCAUGUGCGAAAGCGUGGGGAGCGAACGGG
RNAcentral lists this ribosomal RNA (253 nucleotides) under uncultured bacterium. RNAcentral's name for it is "partial 16S ribosomal RNA". It matches the Rfam family "Bacterial small subunit ribosomal RNA", at positions 524 to 776 of the family's 1533-position model. The record is from RNAcentral.